UACGGAGGGUGCGAGCGUUAAUCGGAAUUACUGGGCGUAAAGCGCACGCAGGCGGCUUGUUAAGCUAGAGGUGAAAGCCCCGCGCUCAACGUGGGAACUGCCUUUAGAACUGGCAGGCUAGAGUCUUGGAGAGGGGAGUGGAAUUCCAGUGUAGCGUGGAAUGACGGUAGAAUAUCUGGGGAAGACAUCA
Molecule: ribosomal RNA, 190 nt
Filed under: uncultured bacterium
Lineage: Bacteria
Description: partial 16S ribosomal RNA
Rfam family: Bacterial small subunit ribosomal RNA
Source: RNAcentral